AGCAGCCGCGGUAAUUCCAGCUCCAAUAGCGUAUAUUAAAGUUGCUGCAGUUAAAAAGCUCGUAGUUGAAUUUCGGGACUAAUAUGUUGGUCGUGCCUCGGUACGUACUGGCAUGUUAGUUUCUACCUUCUGAUGAACCAUGAUGUCAUUAAUUUGGUGUCUUGGGGAAUCAGGACUGUUACUUUGAAAAAUUAGAGUGUUUAAAGCAGGCUCACGCUUGAAUACAUUAGCAUGGAAUAAUGAAAUAGGACGUUCGAUUCUAUUUUGUUGGUUUCUAGGAUCGACGUAAUGAUUAAUAGGGAUAGUUGGGGGCAUUAGUAUUCAAUUGUCAGAGGUGAAAUUCUUGGAUUUAUUGAAGACUAACUACUGCGAAAGCAUUUGCCAAGGAUGUUUUCAUUAAUCAAGAACGAAAGUUAGGGGAUCGAAGACGAUCAGAUACCGUCGUAGUCUUAACCAUAAACUAUGCCGACUAGGGAUCGGAUGAUGUUAAUUUUUAAUGUACUCAUUAC
RNAcentral lists this ribosomal RNA (509 nucleotides) under uncultured Glomus. Its description in RNAcentral is "SSU rRNA". It matches the Rfam family "Eukaryotic small subunit ribosomal RNA", at positions 569 to 1086 of the family's 1831-position model. The record is from RNAcentral. Lineage: Eukaryota; Fungi; Glomeromycota; Glomeromycetes; Glomerales; Glomeraceae.